RNAcentral lists this ribosomal RNA (494 nucleotides) under uncultured bacterium. Its description in RNAcentral is "partial 16S ribosomal RNA". It matches the Rfam family "Bacterial small subunit ribosomal RNA", at positions 28 to 507 of the family's 1533-position model. The record is from RNAcentral.
GACGAACGCUGGCGGCGCGCUUAACACAUGCAAGUCGAACGGAAAGGCCUGCUUUCCCUUGUGGAUUGCGGGUACUCGAGUGGCGAACGGGUGAGUAACACGUGAGUGAUCUGCCCCCAACUUGGGUAUAAGCCUGGGAAACUGGGUCUAAUUCCCGAUAGGACUGCAGGGUGGUGCCUGUGGUGGAAAACGAUUUUCUAGUGGUUGGGGAUGAGCUCGCGGCCUAUCAGCUUGUUGGUGGGGUAAUGGCCUACCAAGGCGGCGACGGGUAGCCGGCCUGAGAGGGUGGACGGCCACAUUGGGACCGGGAUACGGCCCAGACUCCUACGGGAGGCAGCAGUGGGGAAUAUUGCACAAUGGGCGGAAGCCUGAUGCAGCGACGCCGCGUGGGGGAUGACGGCCUUCGGGUUGUAAACUCCUUUCGACCGCGAGGAAGCCACCUGGUUGGAAGGGUGGUGACGGUAGUGGUAGAAGAAGCACCGGCUAACUACGUG